Molecule: ribosomal RNA, 3033 nt
Filed under: Caldithrix sp.
Lineage: Bacteria; Pseudomonadati; Calditrichota; Calditrichia; Calditrichales; Calditrichaceae
Description: 23S ribosomal RNA
Rfam family: Bacterial large subunit ribosomal RNA
Source: RNAcentral
UUUGGUUAAGAUAUUAAGGGCAUACGGUGGAUGCCUUGGCACAAGAAGACGAUGAAGGACGUGGUAAGCUGCGAAAAGCCUCGGGGAGGUGCAAACAACCUUAGAGCCGGGGAUUUCCGAAUGGGGCAACCCUCCUGGAGUCAUGUCCAGGAAUCCUUUGCUGAAUACAUAGGCAGAGUGAAGAGAACGGAGGGAACUGAAACAUCUAAGUACCUCCAGGAAAAGAAAACAACCGUUAUUCCCUAAGUAGCGGCGAGCGAACGGGGAACAGCCUAAACCCAUCUCAUGUUAAAGCCUGUUUGCGUUGUGAGACGGGGGUUGCGGGAAUUGAUUUGACCUCAAGACAGUGGGGUCGGAAAGUUACAAAUCACCCUUUUAAUCAAAGCACUCUGGAAAGUGUGCGCCAAAGAAGGUGAUAGCCCUGUAGAUGAAAAAAGAGGUGACUUUCUUAUUGAUCUCCCAAGUACCGCGGGACACGAGAAAUCUUGCGCGAAUCCGGGUGGACCACCAUCCAAGGCUAAAUACUCUCUUGUGACCGAUAGUGAACUAGUACCGUGAGGGAAAGGUGAAAAGUACCCCUGGCGGGGAGUGAAAUAGUACCUGAAACCGUAUGUCUACAAGCAGUGGGAGUUUUCAGUGGUCUUCGGACUUUCUGCGAACGACCGCGUGCCUUUUGCAUAAUGAGCUGGUGAGUUACUUUACGUUGCAAGAUUAAGGCUUUAAGAGCUGUAGUCGUAGCGAAAGCGAGUCUGAAUAGGGCGUUCAGUAGCGUGGAGUAGACGCGAAGCCGGGUGAUCUACCCAUGACCAGGGUGAAGCGGCCGUAACAGGUCGUGGAGGCCCGAACCCACUAAUGUUGAAAAAUUAGGGGAUGAGUUGUGGGUAGGGGUGAAAGGCCAAUCAAACCCGGAGAUAGCUCGUUCUCCUCGAAAUAGUUUUAGGACUAGCCUCGAAUAAUAGAGAGACGGGGGUAGAGCACUGAAUGGGCUAGGGCCCUCACAAGGGUACCAAUCCCAAACAAACUCCGAAUACCGUUUACUUGUUUUUCGGGAGUCAGGCUAUGUGGGAUAAGCUUCAUAGCCGAGAGGGAAACAACCCAGACCGUCAGUUAAGGUCCUCAAGUAUGAACUAAGUGAUAAAGGAUGUGGGAGCGCCCAGACAACCAGGAUGUUGGCUUAGAAGCAGCCACCAUUUAAAGAGUGCGUAAUUGCUCACUGGUCAAGCGGUCUUGCGCCGACAAUUGCCGGGACUUAAGUUCGUCACCGAAACUACGGAUUCGUGCUUAGCACGAGUGGUAGGGGAGCGUUCCAUUGACCUGCGAAGGUGGACUGUGAGGUCUGCUGGAGGAGAUGGAAUUGAUUAUGCCAGCAUGAGUAGCGAUAAAAGAGGUGAGAAUCCUCUUCACCGAAAAUCUAAGGUUUCCUGAGUAAAGUUCGUCUGCUCAGGGUUAGUCGGACCCUAAGCCGAGGCCGAAAGGCGUAGGCGAUGGAAAACGGGUGAAUAUUCCCGUACCACCAAAAAAUGUUAACUUAAGGGGUGACGCAGAAGUGACAGGUCAGCCGGACUCUGGAUUGCCGGUCUAAGUGCGUAGGAGUGUGGAUGAGGUAAAUCCCAUCCGCUUUAACUUCGAGACACGAAUGGGAAAUGAGGCUUUGCCAAACCAACUGACCGUAAGCAUGCUGCCAAGAAAAACCUCGUAGGUUGUUUUAGGUGACCGUACUUCAAACCGACACAGGUAGAUGGGGAGAGAAUCCUAAGGUGCGCGAGUGAUCUCUGGUUAAGGAACUAGGCAAAUUAACCCCGUAACUUCGGAAGAAGGGGUGCCCUGAUUAAGUGAAAGACUUCGCGUCUGGAGCUAAAAAGGGUCGCAGUGACCAGGCCUGGGCGACUGUUUACUAAAAACACAGGUCUCUGCAAAGCCGUUAAGGCGAAGUAUAGGGACUGACACCUGCCCGGUGCUGGAAGGUUAAGGGGAUAGGUUAUCCCGACUUGUCGGGAGAAGCUUUGAACUGAAGCCCCAGUAAACGGCGGCCGUAACUAUAACGGUCCUAAGGUAGCGAAAUUCCUUGUCGGGUAAGUUCCGACCUGCACGAAUGGUGUAACGACUUGGGCACUGUCUCAACCAGAGGCUCGGCGAAAUUGUAGUACCGGUGAAGAUGCCGGUUACCCGCGACGGGACGGAAAGACCCCGUGAACCUUUACUAUAACUUAGCAUUGGGUUUUGUCAUGGCACGUGUAGGAUAGGUGGGAGACUUUGAAGCGUCGACGCUAGUAGGCGUGGAGUCAUCCUUGAAAUACCACCCUUGUUUUGUUAGAAUUCUAACCUAGGCCCGUUAUCCGGGUCGGGGACCAUGCUAGGCGGGUAGUUUGACUGGGGCGGUCGCCUCCAAAAGAGUAACGGAGGCGCCCAAAGGUUCCCUCAGCACGGUCGGUAAUCGUGCGUAGAGUGUAAAGGCAUAAGGGAGCUUAACUGCGAGACAUACAGGUCAAGCAGGUGCGAAAGCAGGGCUUAGUGAUCCGGUGGUUGCGUGUGGAAGCGCCAUCGCUCAACGGAUAAAAGGUACUCCGGGGAUAACAGGCUUAUCGGGCCCAAGAGUUCACAUCGACGGCCCGGUUUGGCACCUCGAUGUCGGCUCAUCGCAUCCUGGGGCUGGAGAAGGUCCCAAGGGUUGGGCUGUUCGCCCAUUAAAGCGGUACGUGAGCUGGGUUUAGAACGUCGUGAGACAGUUCGGUCCCUAUCUGUCGCGGGCGUAGGAGAUUUGAGGGGAGCUGCUUCUAGUACGAGAGGACCGAAGUGGACGAACCCCUAGUGUACCAGUUGUCUCUCCAGAGGCAUUGCUGGGUAGCUAUGUUCGGAAGGGAUAAGCGCUGAAAGCAUCUAAGUGCGAAGCCCACCUCAAGAUGAAAUCUCCCUUCCCGAUUCGUCGGGACUAAAGGCUCCUCGGAGAUGACGAGGUUGAUAGGCCAUAGGUGUAAGCACAGUAAUGUGUUCAGCCGAAUGGUACUAAUAAGCCGUGAGGCUUAACCAUUAUUU